UACGUAGGGUGCAAGCGUUGUCCGGAAUUAUUGGGCGUAAAGAGCUCGUAGGCGGUUUGUCGCGUCUGCUGUGAAACCACGAGGCUCAACCUCGGGCCUGCAGUGGGUACGGGCAGACUAGAGUGCGGUAGGGGAGAUUGGAAUUCCUGGUGUAGCGGUGGAAUGCGCAGAUAUCAGGAGGAACACCAAUGGCGAAGGCAGAUCUCUGGGCCGUAACUGACGCUGAGGAGCGAAAGCGUGGGGAGCGAACAGG
RNAcentral lists this ribosomal RNA (253 nucleotides) under uncultured bacterium. RNAcentral describes it as "partial 16S ribosomal RNA". It matches the Rfam family "Bacterial small subunit ribosomal RNA", at positions 524 to 776 of the family's 1533-position model. The record is from RNAcentral.